This 253-nucleotide ribosomal RNA is filed under the name uncultured bacterium. Its description in RNAcentral is "partial 16S ribosomal RNA". It matches the Rfam family "Bacterial small subunit ribosomal RNA", at positions 524 to 776 of the family's 1533-position model. The record is from RNAcentral.
UACGUAGGGUGCGAGCGUUGUCCGGAAUUACUGGGCGUAAAGAGCUCGUAGGUGGUUUGUCGCGUUGUCCGUGAAAACUCACAACUCAAUUGUGGGCGUGCGGGCGAUACGGGCAGACUGGAGUACUGCAGGGGAGACUGGAAUUCCUGGUGUAGCGGUGAAAUGCGCAGAUAUCAGGAGGAACACCGGUGGCGAAGGCGGGUCUCUGGGUAGUAACUGACGCUGAGGAACGAAAGCGUGGGUAGCGAACAGG